UUGUGUGCUUUUGAUACGCUGAAAGCUUAGGAGCUGUAGUAAAACUGUAUCACCGCAGUUUGUUGGCGGUGGUUAUCCGGAGUAGUGUAGAAUACAGUUACGCUCGGACGGAGACGCAGAGCUUAUUUUUUUACAGCAGUGUCUAGGCUGUUUCAGACUGUCGGGUGCCGUCGGGGUUGACGGUGGACCAGAUUGCGAGUUUUGCAUCAGCUUGUGCCGAGAGCACGUGAGUCUUAAUUGUUAGACCAGUUGGACCCUGUUUACUUGAUUAUAACCUGUGAGAGCCUGAUUGAAGUAGAGAUACGCUUGCAUACUCGGUUGGGUA
RNAcentral lists this long non-coding RNA (325 nucleotides) under Ananas comosus (pineapple). Its description in RNAcentral is "long non-coding RNA (ACOM_LNC022565)". The record is from RNAcentral. Lineage: Eukaryota; Viridiplantae; Streptophyta; Magnoliopsida; Poales; Bromeliaceae.